This is a long non-coding RNA of Marmota monax (woodchuck), 1236 nucleotides long. RefSeq lists it as uncharacterized. Lineage: Eukaryota; Metazoa; Chordata; Mammalia; Rodentia; Sciuridae. The transcript is spliced from 3 exons. The record is from RefSeq and is a predicted model, not a curated record.
GGGAGCUUGGGCCUGUGAGGUGGAGCCUCUGCUUCCCUCGGUGCUCCGCAGGAGUCGCCGAGGCGUCCUUCCUGUGGCUCGCUCUGGGCGGCCCGCAAUCCCUCCCUUCGGCCGCCGCGCCGCCGCCGCUGGAGGCAAGGGCGUGAGCUGCCCCUGGAGCCGUGAGGCCCGCUCGGCGGCUGCAGCUACGUGAGGCCGAGGCUUCCGAACAGUGCGGGCCCAGGGCUCCUGGGUUCAGAGCUGGAGGCUAGGGCCCCGGCGCGGCCGCCGGCCGAGGCUAGCCCGAGGCCCCGCUUGCCGGCAGAAAACCGCACCUCGCCGGAAGAGGACGCCGCCCAGGCGGCGCGGACACUGCCAGUUGGCGCACCGUCGCCGUCCGGCCUCUGCAGUAGUAUUUCGCCUGGGCCGCGUGGCCGUUCGCCCCUCCACCGCUGUACACGGCAGCACGGGGAGGAGACGGGAGCGGCUCUUGUUCCGUGGGGCGGCCCCCCACCCCGUGCUAGGAAACGGGCCUACGUGAAGGUCACUCCUCCUCGGCGAGUGCCCCUCGGAUACCCCGCGGGGGGACAGUCGCACCACCGCCACUGCCCGUUCCACCAUCUCUCCUUUGCUCCUUCCCCUCUCAAAAGGCACUAAUUUUAAGGAAAAAAAAUCUAAGUGAUAAAAAAGAACCAGGCUUUCCACCAAGUUCUUAAUAACCCAAAGCACAAAUUUAGUGAGGGGCAACUUUAUAAUAGCAGGAAGUAGGGUCCUUCAAUAAGUUCAUUUAUCAGAUUCAACUAUGCGUCCAUUAUUCUAGGCAUGUAGUUUGUCUUUCACCCACGUGUGUAUUUAUUGCAGGCGUCUGACCAACACACAAGUUCAGAGAAAAGAGCAGCAAAAACUGAAGUGAAUGAAAUGCAAAAGCAAGAAAUUAAAGAGGCCUUUGACUUAUUUGAUGCUGAUGGCUCUGGGACCAUAGAUGUGAAAGAACUGAAGAUUGCAUUGCGGGCCUUAGGAUUUGAGCCAAAGAAAGAAGAACUUAAACAAAUGAUAGCUGAAAUGGACAAAGAAGGAAUUGGCACCAUUAGUUUUGAAAAUUUUUUUUGCCAUUAUAAGUGUAAAAAUGGGUGAGAAAGAUGAAAAAGAAGAAAUAUUGAAGGCUUUCAAAUUAUUUGAUGAUGAUGAUACUGGGAGGAUAACACUAAGUAAUAUCAGGAGAGCCGCCAAGGAGCUCGGGGAGAAUUUAACAGAUGA